UCAAACAGGAUUAGAUACCCUGGUAGUCCACACGGUAAACGAUGAAUACUCGCUGUUUGCGAUAUACAGCAAGCGGCCAAGCGAAAGCGUUAAGUAUUCCACCUGGGGAGUACGCCGGCAACGGUGAAACUCAAAGGAAUUGACGGGGGCCCGCACAAGCGGAGGAACAUGUGGUUUAAUUCGAUGAUACGCGAGGAACCUUACCCGGGCUUAAAUUGCAGAUGAAUUACGGUGAAAGCCGUAAGCCGCAAGGCAUCUGUGAAGGUGCUGCAUGGUUGUCGUCAGCUCGUGCCGUGAGGUGUCGGCUUAAGUGCCAUAACGAGCGCAACCCUUGUUGUCAGUUACUAACAGGUUCCGCUGAGGACUCUGACAAGACUGCCAUCGUAAGAUGUGAGGAAGGUGGGGAUGACGUCAAAUCAGCACGGCCCUUACGUCCGGGGCUACACACGUGUUACAAUGGGGGGUACAGAGGGCCGCUACCACGCGAGUGGAUGCCAAUCCCAAAAACCUCUCUCAGUUCGGACUGGAGUCUGCAACCCGACUCCACGAAGCUGGAUUCGCUAGUAAUCGCGCAUCAGCCACGGCGCGGUGAAUACGUUCCCGGGCCUUGUACA
RNAcentral lists this ribosomal RNA (614 nucleotides) under uncultured bacterium. RNAcentral describes it as "bacterial SSU rRNA". It matches the Rfam family "Bacterial small subunit ribosomal RNA", at positions 768 to 1387 of the family's 1533-position model. The record is from RNAcentral.